This is a long non-coding RNA of Triticum aestivum (bread wheat), 2006 nucleotides long. RefSeq lists it as uncharacterized. The transcript has 4 exons. The record is from RefSeq and is a predicted model, not a curated record. Lineage: Eukaryota; Viridiplantae; Streptophyta; Magnoliopsida; Poales; Poaceae.
CUCACCUCCGUCCAGGGCGGCUCGGCGCUGCAUCCUCCCCUCCCAAGCACGGCCGCCGCCACACACACCCAUCACCCCAUCAGAGUACACCUCCCAUACUCCUCUCUCUCUCGCUCGCUCGCUCUCCGUCGCUCCCCAUCCACCCUGCGUGCAUCGGAUCGACCUUGUUCCCUCUCCUUGCAAUGUGGGAGAUGGAAGGAGCCGCCCGUCGGCCACCAAUCUGAUGGAGGCGUGGUCAUCUACCUCCUCCUCUCUCCCCACGUUGGUCCAGCUUGGCGGCCGCGUCGGCGAAACUGCUGGCAGUGACACGGUUCGCGGGUGUGGCGAUAGGAAACAUCGGCUGGUCGUGGCCGCCUACCACGGUGAUCCCGCAGUCCAGCCUCCCCGCCUCCAAGAUGUGGCCUGGACGAGGCCGUCUUCUCCUUUCCUCCGUGGCGUCCAAUGAAGAUCUACACCGCCGUGGCACCACAUGGCUUGUGUUGUACCUUCACCCCGCUGCCCUUUUGUGCUGGGAAGAGGCAGCGUUUGUCCGUAGCACUGCAUGUCCCACAAUCACCAUUCCUUUCUUAUUUAGUGUCGUACAAGUGAUGCAAUCAGGAUUUGCUGGCCUUUUAACAUAUCCCUGGUGGAGUGAAGGGGACGGAAGAAUUGGCAAUACAAUGAGGAUGGUGCAUGGAGAACAUGCUCUGUUGCCAUCUUCAUCCGUGAAUUGGCUCCCAAAUCUAAAAGGCGCGGCUGCCGAAAUAGGAGUCUAACAAGGACCUGGUCACAAAGAAUGAGUUUGAGACAAACCUUGUGCCAUGUGUUAUCACACUCAGAUAUUGGAGCCUUGGGGAAUGUAAAAGAAAGGUUAAACAGAUAGAUGUGGCCCCUCUAAACUUACUUGAAUUGUUCAGCAAAGGUCCGCGAUUAAUGGUACCCAUGUACAUUCAGUAGGGCGAGUUGGUCUUGCUAUAUUGCAUUCAGGCAUAGUGUUGAAAUUUCAUCAAAAAUAAGUUCAAGCAUGAUAUUUAAGAUCGAUUCUGGAAGGAUGACCUGACACACCUGAAGAUAAGAAAAACAUAAGGUGACUAAAAAAUUCAUUGAACCAAAUGUGCCUGACUGAAUUUUAUUUGGAAGUACUGAAUUUUAUUUGGAAUCGUAUGUGUUAUUAUUCUUUGGAUGUGGCUGGCCAUUGCUAGCAUGCAUACAUGUAGCCACAUCUAUGUGAUAUGGUCAGUAUAUAUCUAUCAUGAGAAUAGUGUCUCAUACUCUCAUGCAAUCAAGUCGCAAUUGUUUAUCCUCUUCGAUUAUCUUGCACUGCAGAAUUGUUGUACGGAACAAAUUUAUAGGUGAUAUUCGUUAUUUCUCGGUAAUGUAUAUGGAACAAUAAUGAUCACACAUAUUCCUGUAAGCUAUAGUCUCUUCACAUUUAUGCAUAUUCUUGCUGAGGCAGAAAAGAAAAGUAGUUAUAGUAAGUAGAUAUAUUUCUUCCCAUUUGUGUAUUCUUGCCGGGAGAGAAAAACAUUAGCGAUAAAUAAGCAGUUAUGUAUAAACUUCUGCCAUGCAAACUGGAAACGAAAACUGAUUAUCAUUUUCUGCUUUCUGACUUGCAAUGCAGAAUGUGAGAGCUUAUACCCCCAUAAAACAAUUUUUUCUUGGGUGUCGAUUAGCAGAGGAGCUCCGAGGAGGCCACCAUGGAGCUGAUGCCACCUCAGCAAACAAAACCUGUGCAUAACGAGAACGACGAGACGAGCCAAUACUACAGAGCAGCUGGACCAUAGUGAGGUCUUAAUUUUAAGUAGCAAUCUUGGUUGUUAGCAUAGGUAAGGUUUGAAGUAUCUGUCCACCCUUUAAAAUAUAAGUGUCUAAAUACUAAAUAAUGAUUAUAGUGAUUUAUGACAAUCAGGUGCCGUUUGGUUUAGCAUAUAAGUGUCUAAAUACUAAAUAUAGGUAUCUAUCCACACUUUGGUUUAACAAUCAGGCACCAUUUUCUUCAUCUUGCUAGCUCCAGUUUGUUGCAAAGG